Molecule: transfer RNA, 71 nt
Filed under: Stegodyphus mimosarum
Lineage: Eukaryota; Metazoa; Arthropoda; Arachnida; Araneae; Eresidae
Rfam family: tRNA
About the family: Transfer RNA (tRNA) molecules are approximately 80 nucleotides in length. Their secondary structure includes four short double-helical elements and three loops (D, anti-codon, and T loops).
Source: Rfam by way of RNAcentral
GCCGUCGUGGUAUAACGGUAGCACACUCAGUUCAUAUUCGAGAGGUCCAGGUUCGAGUCCUGGAGAGGGCA